UGGGGAAUAUUGCACAAUGGGCGAAAGCCUGAUGCAGCAACGCCGCGUGAGUGAUGAAGGUCUUCGGAUCGUAAAGCUCUGUCUUUUGGGACGAUAAUGACGGUACCAAAGGAGGAAGCCACGGCUAACUACGUGCCAGCAGCCGCGGUAAUACGUAGGUGGCGAGCGUUGUCCGGAUUUACUGGGCGUAAAGGGUGCGUAGGCGGAUGUUUAAGUGAGAUGUGAAAUACCCGGGCUUAACUUGGGUGCUGCAUUUCAAACUGGAUAUCUAGAGUGCAGGAGAGGAGAAUGGAAUUCCUAGUGUAGCGGUGAAAUGCGUAGAGAUUAGGAAGAACACCAGUGGCGAAGGCGAUUCUCUGGACUGUAACUGACGCUGAGGCACGAAAGCGUGGGUAGCAAACAGGAUUAGAUACCCUGGUAGUCCACGCCGUAAACGAUGAGUACUAGGUGUAGGAGGUAUCGACCCCUUCUGUGCCGCAGUAAACACAUUAAGUACUCCGCCUGGGAAGUACGAUCGCAAGAUUAAAACUCUAAAGUGAAUUGAC
This 545-nucleotide ribosomal RNA is filed under the name uncultured bacterium. RNAcentral's name for it is "partial 16S ribosomal RNA". It matches the Rfam family "Bacterial small subunit ribosomal RNA", at positions 355 to 914 of the family's 1533-position model. The record is from RNAcentral.